RNAcentral lists this ribosomal RNA (253 nucleotides) under uncultured bacterium. Its description in RNAcentral is "partial 16S ribosomal RNA". It matches the Rfam family "Bacterial small subunit ribosomal RNA", at positions 524 to 776 of the family's 1533-position model. The record is from RNAcentral.
UACGUAGGUGGCAAGCGUUAUCCGGAUUUAUUGGGCGUAAAGGGAACGCAGGCGGUCUUUUAAGUCUGAUGUGAAAGCCUUCGGCUUAACCGGAGUAGUGCAUUGGAAACUGGGAGACUUGAGUGCAGAAGAGGAGAGUGGAACUCCAUGUGUAGCGGUGAAAUGCGUAGAUAUAUGGAAGAACACCAGUGGCGAAAGCGGCUCUCUGGUCCGUAACUGACACUGAGGCUCGAAAGCGUGGGGAGCAAACAGG